RNAcentral lists this long non-coding RNA (2878 nucleotides) under Equus asinus (donkey). RNAcentral describes it as "lncRNA (ENSEASG00005034098.1)". The record is from RNAcentral. Lineage: Eukaryota; Metazoa; Chordata; Mammalia; Perissodactyla; Equidae.
UGUAGACAGCUGUGCCAGAGCAGACAGAGCCAGGUGCCGGGGGCAGGUCCUCAGGUCAGGGAGCCUGGAGGAGGCGGAAGCCACGUCAGACCAAGAGGCAUAGCCUUGCCCAAAACACUUUCUCACUGGCUGCUGAUGCCCGAAGUUCCAGUGAAGUGUUCCCCUCCCUGAGUCAAAGGCAAAUUCAGAACAAAACCAUGUCAAGCAUUGUACAAGCUCACGCAAAUGUGCCUCAAAGACUAGUAGAGAAUUAAUUGAUGGCUCUGCCAAGCUGGACAGAUGACAAUCACUGCUCAUGGAGAAAUCCUCUGAGGACUAACCGCUGCAGGACGCUUCCGCCCACCCUCCGAGGUGGGGAGCCUGUGGGGAAAACUAAUCCUCGCCGCCUUGCCCGUUGCACUGGGGCGCUGAGUGAAAAGGCCGGGGGGCCAGGCCCGGGCCACGUGGAGGGGCCCGCCGGCCACUCGCUCUUCACUCUCAGCGCUGACAAGAGGGCCAUCAGAGCCCGGGGUACAGCACCCCUCGGGCUGACGCCUCUCUGAUAAACGGCUUUACAGGGAGGGUUCAUAAGCAGGUUAGGAAGAAACCUGGCCUUCCUCUCUGAUCUGCUAGACAGAUAAUGGGGAUUUCUAGUCAUUAGAGCAAUGAUGCCGGAUAGGAAUUCCCAUGUGGCCGCCCUAGGAAACCGCUCUGGAAAACUCCACUGCGGGGCUCAUCACAAGCCCCCUAAUCCUGGAAAAUGAACUUGAGGUUUCCUGCCCGCCCCCCACCCCGUCCCCACACACGCAACAUGGACUCCCUUGGCUAGAAUUUCGUUUUCAGCACAUUCAACAGAAAUUUGGACAUAAGGAAAUGUUCUCAGAGCGUUAAAAAAAUUUUCUUAUUUAGAAAAAAAAUCUUCUAAUUCCAGGUGUAACCUCUUAGGGAUUAGUCAAUGAGGGCAGCCUAACUCGGUUUCCCAGCCAGCGGGCUUGGGAUCACAGGCUGGCAAGGUCCUUGUUUAACAGGAGCCAAAGCUACCAUCCUAGGCCACUUGGUAAGUUAGGGACCACACCAGGCCUAGGACCCACCCAGGGUUCUGAGAGCCAGUCCUGAGCUCGUUCCUCACACAGUCCAGAAACCUGUGAUGAAGAAGAAAUCAUCCAGGGUCUCCUUCAUGAGCCCCUUCCGUGUGCAGGCAUAAUAAGACCCACAGAUAAGUGGGGGAACCCUUGGUGACUCAUUUCAAAGGAUGCAGGAGUGAAGCCACGUGCUGCCGGUGGGGGGAACCUCACCCAUCCAGCCAGGCACACCAGGUUUCAAGGCCUGACCCCACGCCUCUCACGAGGCGGGUGAGCUGGCGCAAGUUAUCAGAGCUCUCUGAGCCUCAGUUUCCUUAUCUGAGAAAGUAAAUAAUGCCUACCUCACAGAGCUGUCAUGAAAACAAAUUUAAAGGAGAUAACAUUUAUGAAGCUGGUAGCCCUGGUGCCCCUCCUGCUUGCUGCCUCCUGAAUCCUUUAUCCCAGAACCAAGGGUGUGAUUUUAGAUUACACGGCAUGAGCAACACGUUUGCUAAGGUGUAAUCAGCGAUUUAACAAACAUAAAUGCGCCAGAGAUCCUGCUCAGGCCAAUAAAAGACUGAGGGCUUCAGCCUCCGGGGAGAAGGGCACCUCCAGUCUGACCCGAGAGCUGAGGGGGGAGAGCCGGCGGAGGAGAGAGGCCAGGCGGCACAGACCAGAGAUGUCCCACGGAAACAGUGUGAGCGACAGAUAGAAUUUAAGAUGUUCCAGUAGCCACAUUCAAGAAAGUAAAAGAAAAUAGGUGAUGUUAAUCUUCAUAAUAUGUUUUAUUUAGUCCAGUAUAUCCAAAAUAUAAUUAUUUCAACUUGUACUGUUAUAAAAAUUAUUACUGGGGUAUUUUAUGUUCUUUUUUCUUACAGAGUCUUUGAAAUCAGUAUGUGUUUACACCUACAGCACAGUUCAGUUCAGACCAGCAGCAUUUCAAGGGUUCACCAUAUGGAUCAGGCAGGUGUAGACAAAUCCCCAUGCACCAACCUCGGUGCUAAGUGUUGGGAGGCCGAAAGCUUUCCACUAGAGCAGGAGUCCUGCCCUCAGGGGGCUCACUGUCUAGUUUGAGAUGUAGGGCAGAUGGGGGAAAUUUUACCAAACAAUAUACAUUUGCCUGUAGGUUCCCAAAGUGCUUAUCCUAAGGCGCUCAACCUGCAGUUCAGUCUUUUUCCUCCAGGCCUUAGACAGACCCCAAUCCCAGGGACACUAUCCCUUCCCAUAAACAGCGGUCAGAUCACACAUCUGAUUUGGGGUUUGGGAUGCGCAGCGCCCUAGGGAGCAGUUUAAGGGAAGCGGGUGCCUGGCUCUCCAAUCUCUGGAGGCCACAUAGUGCCCACUUCCUACUGGCCGAGCCCAGAUCCCAGACAAGUAGGAAAGAAACUGAAAGCAAACGCUCGGCCCUUCUCGGAACGCCUUACCUGUGUCCCCGGCGAGCAGCCGGCGCGGGAGCCGCCGUCCAUGCAGACGAGGCCGCUCUCAGCCCCGCUGCUCGCCGCCCCACCCCGUGGUCCCUGCCCCUCCCCCAGAGCCUCUGCGUUUCCUCCGCCGCCUGACAGGAGAAGCCAGUGGCGGCGGCAGCUUGCGGAGCGCUCUUCGAGCCGUGCAGGCGUGGACCUCGGCAAAAACCACAGACCCAGACUGGCUUUAGAUCCCCUACCAUUUUUUUUGGAAACUUUCUCCCUUUCUGCACCCCACCCCUAUCCCCACCCUAAGUUCCUUCCUUAACUAUUUCUGCUGCUAGACUAAUUCAUGCUAAGGAGUUACUGACUCAGUGGGCCAUCUUUCCCAGGGAUUUGCAUUUUUAAAGACAAAAUAAUAAUAAAAAGAGUGGC